UUCCACUGGCAAUGGGCAAAGAGAUACCUUUGUGGUGGUGGCAUUCUUCUAUCAGUCAGGGGCAGAGCAGGUGGUAGUCCUUUGUCCAUCUUAGUUUGAUGCUUGACUUGGUGGCCAAAGCUAUCUUAUACCUAGAACACAUAA
Molecule: small nucleolar RNA, 144 nt
Organism: Apodemus sylvaticus (European woodmouse)
Lineage: Eukaryota; Metazoa; Chordata; Mammalia; Rodentia; Muridae
Product: small nucleolar RNA SNORA48
Exons: 1
Source: RefSeq, a predicted model, not a curated record